UAGUUCUGCAAUGUAUACAUUGCAGUUUCUCUAAAACUGCAAUGUUUUACAUUGCACCACUA
This 62-nucleotide microRNA precursor is filed under the name Pelobates cultripes (western spadefoot toad). Lineage: Eukaryota; Metazoa; Chordata; Amphibia; Anura; Pelobatidae. The record is from RNAcentral.